GACGAACGCUGGCGGCGUGCUUAACACAUGCAAGUCGAACGGUGAAGGGACCGGUUUUUGCUGGUUCUGGAUGAGUGGCGAACGGGUGAGUAACACGUGAGUAACCUGCCCCCUUCUUCUGGAUAACCGCAUGAAAGUGUGGCUAAUACGGGAUAUUCUGCGCCUGCUGCAUGGUGGGUGUGGGAAAGAUAUUGUUUCGGUGGGGGAUGGGCUCGCGGCCUAUCAGCUUGUUGGUGGGGUGAUGGCCUACCAAGGCGGUGACGGGUAGCCGGCCUGAGAGGGUGGACGGUCACACUGGGACUGAGACACGGCCCAGACUCCUACGGGAGGCAGCAGUGGGGAGUAUUGCACAAUGGGCGAAAGCCUGAUGCAGCGACGCCGCGUGAGGGAUGGAGGCCUUCGGGUUGUAAACCUCUUUCGCCAGUGAAGCAGGCCUGUCCCUUUUGUGGGUGGGUUGACGGUAGCUGGAUAAGAAGCGCCGGCUAACUACGUG
This 493-nucleotide ribosomal RNA is filed under the name uncultured bacterium. RNAcentral describes it as "partial 16S ribosomal RNA". It matches the Rfam family "Bacterial small subunit ribosomal RNA", at positions 28 to 507 of the family's 1533-position model. The record is from RNAcentral.